Molecule: transfer RNA, 78 nt
Filed under: Flagellimonas eckloniae
Lineage: Bacteria; Pseudomonadati; Bacteroidota; Flavobacteriia; Flavobacteriales; Flavobacteriaceae
Also listed under: 6 other names
Description: tRNA-Val
Rfam family: tRNA
About the family: Transfer RNA (tRNA) molecules are approximately 80 nucleotides in length. Their secondary structure includes four short double-helical elements and three loops (D, anti-codon, and T loops).
Source: RNAcentral
GGGCGCGUAGCUCAGUUGGUUCAGAGCACCUGGUUUACACCCAGGGGGUCAGGGGUUCGAAUCCCUUCGCGCCCACCA